This is a non-coding RNA of Halocaridina rubra (Hawaiian volcano shrimp), 75 nucleotides long. The record is from the annotation of a GenBank genome assembly. Lineage: Eukaryota; Metazoa; Arthropoda; Malacostraca; Decapoda; Atyidae.
GCCGUGGCCGAGUGGUAAUGUUCACGACUUUGAUUCGUCAGGUCGUGGGUUCGAGGCCCGCUACGGUCUGAUGCU